Molecule: long non-coding RNA, 1416 nt
Organism: Cryptotermes secundus
Lineage: Eukaryota; Metazoa; Arthropoda; Insecta; Blattodea; Kalotermitidae
Exons: 3
Source: RefSeq, a predicted model, not a curated record
AUCAACAGCCCGACAACCUAGGACAUCUAGGACGAUCUAGGAAGCCAAGGAAUAACCUAGGACCCGUAAGACCUGCUCCCACGAGUCAUGGGGAUUUAUAAGGUCACCACCUGAAGCGCCCCAUAUAGGUGGAAGGUAUAAAUACAACGGGGUGCUGCCUGGUGACCCGAGGAGAUCAUUCACGACACUGACUAAUUACCACCCCAGUGCCACGCAGCCCUCAGCAUGAUGCCUCACACCUUGGCUUAGGUGGUUUGGUCCUGUUAUGAAUAAGACCCUCGCAAGCAUCCAGGACUUAAAGUGCCUGUUUGGGGGGAGAGGGGUAUCCCAGAUGAUCAAUGGGAGUGCGAUACCAGCUAGUCAUGAGGUUUCGACCAGGAAAACCUGCUGCUGGAGGUGGCCUUGCAUUGCACCUACCUGAAGUGAUUGACGAUACCGGUACGAACAGGCAAAAGCUUCAGUGAUGUAGUAAUCAGUGUUGGUGAAAUGGAUCUAUUCCUGGGCAUGUUACAAAGGCACAAGUGGGUCCUAGUGACAGAGGAAGUGGCACCGCCACACCAUACCAGCAUUUACAAGGCCACAUUUUCGAGACUAUGAAACUGGGGAAGUUGCUGCUUGUGGUGGCUCUGCAUCACCAUUAUGUGAAGUGAGUGGCUAAGGGUGUUCUGACUGUAUGACCAGACAAAAGCCUCAGUGAUGUAGUGAUGACUGCUGGUGAAAGUUGGUCUACUCCUGGGCAUGUUACAGAGGCACAAGUGGGUCCUAGUGGCAGUGGAAAUAGCAUGUAACAUGUACAGCUGCAUUCCAACUUAGGAGUUACAUUAGUUGUCCUGUGCAAUCAGACUUAAUUUCCAACUAUUAAAUUUUGGCUUUUAAAGUUAAGGAAACGGUUUCUUCCCUCAAGUGACACUGGCCUGACUGCUUGCCUAGAACUAGAUGUUUUCAUUCAAAAUUUAAUUUUAAUUAAAACUCUCAUUCCUCCACUUUAUGUCUUAUUUACACAACACGUUUCGACAUACACGGCCAUCAUCAGGUGCACUAAAAUCGUUCUGGUGAAACUGCUGAACUUCAUGCACCAUCACAUUUUUUAUGAUUCAAUUCUGAAUUAUAUUUUUUUUGUGUGUGUGCAGUGUGUGGUGACUGGUGUUUUUUGUGCAGUGUGUAUUUCAUUCUGUUGUCUUGUGUAGUUAUGGUUCAUAUUGUACUUCAGAAUUCAAAACCAAAUCACAAAAAAUGUUAUGAUGGUGCAUAAAGUGCAGCACUUUCAACAGAACAAUUUUAGCUCACCUGAUGGCCAUGUAGGCUGAAACAUGUUGUGUAAAUUGAAGGAAUGAGAGUUUUAAGUAGAAACUGAAUGUGUGUAGAUUGUAAUAUAAUUAUCUGUUUGGUGAGGAGUUGUUAUCCCCACGCCCAACC